CGGUUCGUGAGUCGCGACCCAGAGGAUACCCAGAGGCCAGUUGGGAGCGAGCAGCAAUGGUUUGUGAGGACUAAUCUGCUGUGUACUCGCUGCGGAUAAACCUUUAUUACCGUGGUCUCAGGUGUGUUGUCCCCACCUUAUCUACUGAAGAAGGAUGAACUUGGUAGCAAUGCAUGGUUCGUCUAGGGCAUGAUGAAGGAGACCAGCUAUCUGUUUAUGAGUGGCGUUCCGGCGGAUGUUGUGUUCUUGACACCAUCACUGGACGAUUCCCUGUUUACUAGCGGCAUGGCUAGUUUUUCUACAUUCACAGCAAUCACAGGACUGCGUCAGCUCUUAAGGAAACAUCCACCAAACCUUACUAACAGAAGCCAUAAAGCUGCUGCUGCAAGUCACAAGAUCCAGUAGAUGACAAAGCUGACAUUGUCUUGACCCUCUCCCUCACAAUCCCACAAAAUUAUCUACCUGUAACAACACAAUGUAAGCUUCACCAGGUUGCUGAAGGAACGUACAAUGGUUGCCAGCCGGUUGUCGGGUAGCGGCGUUGUCAAGAGAGUGAAGAGAUGUCCAAACACUAAGGCAUCCAGCUCUGUGGGUCUGUUGAGGCAAAACAGAAUGACCCAAGACCCUGAGCCGACGGACAACCUGAUUGCGCUUCUGUCGGGUGAGGAACACAUUGAUAGGCCACGGGUAGACUGAGCCAUAGCGAGGCUUAGUCACGUCCUCAUAGGUGGCUGGGUCAACCCAGGAGACAUAGAGCUAAAAAAAACACAGGCAGUUUUGGAUUAUUUUCCUCAGUACAAUGUUGUGCAAGUUGCAAACUAUUUUGUGAUGAAAUUUAAAUUGUCUCCAUUGUACCUGUUAAAUGUUGCCAAUAACAAUUGAAAAAAGAAUCUCAAUGCAUAAUAAAGAACAUGGCUUGAA
Molecule: long non-coding RNA, 921 nt
Organism: Scylla paramamosain (green mud crab)
Lineage: Eukaryota; Metazoa; Arthropoda; Malacostraca; Decapoda; Portunidae
Exons: 4
Source: RefSeq, a predicted model, not a curated record